UAAAGUAAGAAAGAGCGUAUGGCGGAUGCCUAGGCACAGAGAGGCGAAGAAGGACGCAGCAAACAGCGAAAUGCGACGGUUAGCAGUAAGCAUGCAACGAUCCGUCGAUGUCCGAAUGGGGGAACCCACCUGGAGUAGAGACCAGGUAUCCUGAAGUGAAUAAAUAGCUUCAGAGAGGCGAGACUCAGGGAACUGAAACAUCUAAGUACCUGAAGGAAGAGAAAAUAAACGAAUGAUUCCCUAAGUAGCGGCGAGCGAAAGGGGAAGAGCCCAAACCGAUCUUAGGAUCGGGGUUGUAGGACUGUCGGCAAAGAGCAAGAAAUCAUUAUAGGCGAACGGAAUGGGAAGUCCGGCGAAACAGGGUGACAGCCCCGUAGCCGAAAUAGUGAAGAAGCACGAGACAGCACCUGAGUACGGCGGGACACGAGGAAUCCUGUCGGAAUCCACCAGGACCAUCUGGUAAGGCUAAAUACUCCUCUGUGACCGAUAGUGAACCAGUACCGUGAGGGAAAGGUGAAAAGAACCCCGGGAGGGGAGUGAAAGAGAACCUGAAACCGUAUGCCUACAAGAAGUCAGAGCCCGUUAAGGGGUGAUGGCGUGCCUUUUGUAGAAUGAACCGGCGAGUUGCGACAGACUGCGAGGUUAAGGAGGAAAGACCGGAGCCGAAGCGAAAGCGAGUCUUAAGAGGGCGAAAGUAGGAUGUUGCAGACCCGAAACCGGGUGAUCUAGCCAUGAGCAGGUUGAAGUUGAGGUGAAACUCAAUGGAGGACCGAACCGACUACCGUUGAAAAGUUAGCGGAUGACUUGUGGCUAGGGGAGAAAUUCCAAUCGAACCCGGAGAUAGCUGGUUCUCCCCGAAAUAGCUUUAGGGCUAGCGUCGGAAAGAACCUUAGUGAAGGUAGAGCACUGAAUGUGUGAUGGCCCCAUCCCGGGGUACUGAAUACAAUCAAACUGCGAAUGUCAUUAAGGAUGUCCGGCAGUCAGACUGUGAGUGAUAAGGUCCAUGGUCAAGAGGGAAACAGCCCAGACCGCCAGUUAAGGUCCCAAAAUGUAUGCUAAGUGGAAAAGGAUGUGGGGAUGCACAGACAACUAGGAGGUUGGCUCAGAAGCAGCCAUCCUUCAAAGAGUGCGUAACAGCUCACUAGUCGAGUGACCCUGCGCCGAAAAUGUACCGGGGCUAAGCCUGAUACCGAAACUGCGGAUUGUAGGAAACUAUAGUGGUAGGGGAGCGUUGUAUACGAGCAGAAGCCGUACCGUGAGGAGCGGUGGAUUGUAUAGAAGUGAGAAUGCCGGUGUGAGUAGCGAGAUGUAGGUGAGAAUCCUACACACCGAAAGCCCAAGGAUUCCAGGGGAAGGUUCGUCCGCCCUGGGUAAGUCGGGACCUAACGCGAGGCCGAAAGGCGUAGUGGAUGGAAAGCAGGCGAAAGAUUCCUGCACCCGUAUAUGGAGCGAAGGAGUGACGGAGACGGAUAGUGUGACCCUCUUAAUGGAUUGAGGGCGAAGCGAAGCGGCUGGUUACCAGGCAAAUCCGGUAACCAAAAGGCUAGAGCGUGACAGGUAAGCGAAAUCUUAGGAAAGUAGCGAAGCACAUGAUGACGGCUUCCAGGAAAAGCUUCUGGCAAUGCAUAUGCGGCCCGUACCAAAACCGACACAGGUGGGCAGGGAGAGAAUCCCGAGGUGAGCGAGAGAACUGUUGCCAAGGAACUCGGCAAAAUGACUCCGUAAGUUAGCGAGAAGGAGUGCUUAAGCAAUUAAGCCGCAGUGAAGAGGCCCAAGCGACUGUUUAACUAAAACACAGCUCUCUGCGAAGUCGCAAGACGAAGUAUAGGGGGUGACACCUGCCCGGUGCUGGAAGGUUAAGAGGAUCUGUUAAGAGCGAUCUGAAGCAGUGAUCCGAAGCCCCAGUGAACGGCGGCCGUAACUAUAACGGUCCUAAGGUAGCGAAAUUCCUUGUCAGGUAAG
Molecule: ribosomal RNA, 1962 nt
Filed under: metagenome
Description: bacterial LSU rRNA
Rfam family: Bacterial large subunit ribosomal RNA
Source: RNAcentral